CAGGGAUACGUUGUCUAGGUCUGGGACCUGGUGGAGAAAUCAGGGAUUUCCAGCCAACCUAAACGACAGUCGUGGGUUAGAUUAAAAACGUGUCAGGGAUACGUUGUCUAGGUCUGGGACCUGGUGGGGAAUCGGGGAUUUCCAACCAACCUAAACGCUGAGAUCUGGGAUUUUCGUGGAGAGACAGUAAAUGGUGGAUUCGAUAGGAUUCACUAUAAACAAGAUAAGAACCUUUUAUUGAAUUAAAGUUAAAAUUAGAGGGGACGUCCCAGGCUCUCCUGAAACCGGGUGACGAAAUCCUGAUAAAGGUCAUCAAAAGAAAGUCCUGGGCGACACCCAAGUGGGAAGGACCGUUCCGAGUACUCAUUACCACCCCAACUGCGGUAAAAAUCGCAGAACGAAGCACCUGGAUACAUCAGUCUCAGUGCAAGAAGUUGACACCAGACGCUGCCCUUGAGUAAGUGGGAAGACGGACGGUAUCAAAACCCUUGUCCGCCGAAGAAACCAACAGACACUCACUCACCAGCCACA
This is a long non-coding RNA of Esox lucius (northern pike), 531 nucleotides long. RefSeq lists it as uncharacterized. Lineage: Eukaryota; Metazoa; Chordata; Actinopteri; Esociformes; Esocidae. The record is from RefSeq and is a predicted model, not a curated record. The transcript is spliced from 2 exons.